Long non-coding RNA from Rosa rugosa (rugosa rose), 1053 nucleotides. RefSeq lists it as uncharacterized. The record is from RefSeq and is a predicted model, not a curated record. Lineage: Eukaryota; Viridiplantae; Streptophyta; Magnoliopsida; Rosales; Rosaceae. The transcript has 3 exons.
CUCAUCUCUCUAAAAUCCAACUCCGAUUCUCUCUCCCUCCGUCUCAGCCAUGACCGCCUCCAACUCCAAUUCUCUCCCUCCAUCUCAGCCAUGGUCGCCGUGCACGAAUCACCCACUAGUCCAAGCCGUUCCUCAAGUACCUAAUACCGGAGCCCUAGCCCAAAUCCAAGACUCCAAAUCUCACAUAAUCAACUGGAUCUCCCAGAUUCUUUCGAUUUCGCCAUUGUCUCUCUUCGCCGACUCCGGUCUCCCGCAGAUCACUGUCGCCGCCGACGGAUUCCAUUGCUCCUCCCACAGAUCGACAGCGACGACUUCGUCUCCGGCUUCGAAGGCAAGUCCAACCUCUUCUGGCGGCUUGAACUGGAUCUCCGACUCUCUCCCCUUCCUCUCAAGUCCUGAUCGCUGCUUGAUGAUUGUGAUCGGAAAGGUGAGAGGAGGAUCACGACGAUGAUGAAGGUGCACGACGAGGCGAGGCAAGGCAGCCCAGGCAUCGACGACGUCGUCUAGGGCUCAGUUUGGUGUCGACUCCUUCAAGCCUCCUGAUUUUCAAGCCACCUGAUUCUCAUGAAGGGCGCCGUUUCGCUACUGUAUCUCUGCAGCAACAGCUCCGACGCGUCUCAUGCCUCCACCACCGCCGUCCCCGCUUAACCUUUCACAAUGAUUUUCCUCUUCGAAACACCGACCAAGGCGCUUUCCGGCAAACUCUCGCUCCAGAGUUCUUUCCCUUUGCAUUUGUAGUAGUAGAUUUUGAAAAUCAUGUGAAUUUGGAUAUUGAAGCCUAUAUUGACCAAGAGAUCAUUCGGCCAACUAAAAUUUUUUGAAAUGAAGGCUCGUGCUGAAGGUGGCAAAUGAUGCAUAUGGGUCUAGAGCGUCACCAUUGGAAAAUGAUAGUAGCAUUACAACAUUGACAAUAGCUUUAUACAACUAUUGUAAUAGAUUUUCACAACUAUAGUAGUGGUUUUUUACAAGUAUGGAAGUAACUUUUUAUAUAGUUACAUUAUUGUUGAACCCUACAUACGUUUUGUAACAUUGAAUAUGUUUUCUUUUCUCGAU